UGGGGAAUAUUGGACAAUGGGCGCAAGCCUGAUCCAGCCAUGCCGCGUGAGUGAUGAAGGCCCUAGGGUUGUAAAGCUCUUUCACCGGUGAAGAUAAUGACGGUAACCGGAGAAGAAGCCCCGGCUAACUUCGUGCCAGCAGCCGCGGUAAUACGAAGGGGGCUAGCGUUGUUCGGAUUUACUGGGCGUAAAGCGCACGUAGGCGGACUUUUAAGUCAGGGGUGAAAUCCCGGGGCUCAACCCCGGAACUGCCUUUGAUACUGGAAGUCUUGAGUAUGGUAGAGGUGAGUGGAAUUCCGAGUGUAGAGGUGAAAUUCGUAGAUAUUCGGAGGAACACCAGUGGCGAAGGCGGCUCACUGGACCAUUACUGACGCUGAGGUGCGAAAGCGUGGGGUGCAAACAGG
RNAcentral lists this ribosomal RNA (404 nucleotides) under Actinomycetes bacterium. RNAcentral describes it as "Actinobacteria bacterium partial 16S ribosomal RNA". It matches the Rfam family "Bacterial small subunit ribosomal RNA", at positions 355 to 776 of the family's 1533-position model. RNAcentral also lists the same sequence under 1 other name. The record is from RNAcentral. Lineage: Bacteria; Bacillati; Actinomycetota; Actinomycetes.